AUGGAUGAGGCUGGGGAGUAUAAAAGGAGAAUGGAGGGUGACAGCCCAGGUUUGGGGGAGAACAAGAGCCGUGAGCUGCAGCCUUGGGUCGGGAGGCCGGGGGUGGGGGGGCCUCGUGGGGCCUCGGGGGAGGGGACGCGCUCGGGGCUCGCGGUGUCGCUCCGCUGGGGUGUCCUCGCUCUGUCCAGCCGCUCAAGGCCUACCCUGUGUCCUCUGCAGACCGAGCUGCCGGGGCGUUGGAGGCCGGCCAUGGAGGCCCCCCAGCUGCUGACAGCCGCCGUCGUGCUGUGCUCCGCCAGCUGCCUCCUGCCCGACGGCGCGGCGCCCGCCUUCGGUGUCCAGGACGAGGCUGAGGCGCUGCCCCCGCCGCGGGACAACCGCAGGUCCUGGCUGAGCAGCUUCCAGGACUACGUGUGGGACCGCAUCAAGAGCUCCCUCCCCACGGCCACUGUAUUCGCCUUCCUUUUCGCCAUCGUCCUAGUGGGGCUCCUCUGCUGCCUCACUUUCGCUGUAGGUGAACCAGUCUAACGAAGCGCUACAAGAUUCCGUUGCGCAGAAUGUGCUGUCGCUUCCAACGAGGAACUACGUAUCAAUCAAAAUUAAAUUAUCUUCCAUUUUAAAGUCUGUUUGCCUUUCGUUUCGCCUUUAAAACAUGUGAUUCGACAAUGGUAAUAUGCUGUUUUGAUUAUAAUAGUGACACGUACUCAUUACAAGACAAUUCUCACAAAACACCGAAAGAAGAAAAUGUACCUGUGAUCCUAGUGCACAGACACGCUCUGAACAUCUUGCUGUAUCUCCAUUUGUUUUUUUUUAAUUUUUAUUUAUUUAUUCAUGAAAGACACACAGAGAGAGGCAGAGACACAGGCAGAGGGAGAAGCAGGCUCCACGCAGGGAGCCUGACAUGGGACUCGAUCCCGGGACCCCGGGAUCACGCCCUGGGCUGAAGGCAGCACUAAACCCCUGAGCCACCUGGGGAUCCCCUAUUUCCUGUGUUUGUAUGACCAGUUUUUCCCCAGGUCUUUUCUGUGUAAUGAAAGUUCUGUUUUAAUAGAUGUCAUGAGACAACAGGGUUCAGUGGUCAAUUAUGUUUGACAGACGCUGGAUUAAAUGGAUUUACACGUUUCUUUGCUCCAGGACUUCCAAGUGACCUAAUACAUAAAAAUGUAUUUAUGUAUUUAUUUGUCUAUCUAUGUAUUUGAGAGAGAGAGAGCAGCAGAGGGGGAGGGAGGAGCAGGCUCCCCUCUGAGCAGUGAGUCCAACACGGGGCUCGGUCCCAGGACCCUGAGAUCAUGACCUGGGCAGAUGCGUCCCGAUCUCGGAGUCCUGGGAUCAAGCCCCACAUGGGGCUCUGUGCUCAGCGGGGAGCCAGCUUCUCCCUCUCGCUCUUCCCCUCCCCACUGCUCGUGCUCUCUCUCUCUCUCUCUCAAAUAAAUGCAUAAAAAGAAUUUUGUAAAAGGCCACCAUGGAUCUCCACAAGAGGCUACAAUACACAGCAUCUCCCCAAUUUGAAGCUGGGAUACUUCUUCAGGGAGUCCCCAACACCCCGAGGAGUGGCGGCGUGCAUGCAGGCACACAGAUGUGCUCGCGUGGACACCUUCUCUUCUCCCACGCCGCGCGUGGCAUUUCGUGGCCUGCCGCUUUGCCCACUGCGGGACACGUCAGGGCCCAUAUGUCUCUACGUGGGUGCACGGGUGUGUGGGACUGCGGGCCGCUCAGCGCUUCCUGCGGCUCGGGGCCCACGUAGCUCCCCCACGGCGGGCUCCUCUCGGGUGUCUGUGCCCGUUGAGGGCGAUGCUGUUCUAAACGCAGUGCUGCUCUCAGGCUUCAGGUGACCCCUUGGCCCUGCGCCCCGGGCCCUCGGGGGAGCCCUGCGGCAGCCGCCCAGUGCUGGGCCGGGUCACGCACACCCGCUCACGGGCUUGGGAGCACCGAGCUGCGGGAGGAGUCGGAUCGCUGUGGGGGGGGGGCAGCCCCAGGGGGUUCGAAGGCAGCCAAGAGGCCACAGUGACUGCGGGCGGAGCAGGCCCCUGGGGGCCACGGAGGCACCUGCGCUCCUCCUGGGGGUGACAAGGGCCCCCCAGACCGCCUGGGGCAGAGCAGGGCCUGAGAGCGACAGCUGUGUUUGGGGUCAUCGCAGCCGCCAGGCCGAGGAUAUCGGGGAGCAGGGGCGUGGGGGGGUGGGUUUCACAAUGUGCGGGUCCAGAGAGGGGCCGCCGGGGUGGGAGCCAAGGCUGGCCGGGUGGGGGGACACGGAGGCCCCCAGGCGUGUGGCCUGAGCGCGGGGGAUGGAGGGCUUCACGGAGCCGGGGAGCUGCAGGCAGGUGGGCACCUGCUACCUGGCCACGGGGUCCUGGCGCCGCCGCAGGUAAGACCCACAGAGCCGACCCGAGGGUGGGCUGCACCGGGCCGCGGGGACAGGAGGGCACACUGAACAAGCGCGUCGUGCCCUCCCCUGUCCUGGCUCCUCACCUGCCUCGCUGCUGCCUCCGACGGGGACGCCGGGGCGGGGGGGUGCCCCCUGCGUGGGGCCUGCUUCUCCCUCUGCCUGGGUCUCUGCCUCUCUGUCUCUCAUGAAUAAAAUCUUAAAAAAAAGACCACAAAACCUCCGUAGGUGUCUUCUAUGCUCGGUUUAGGUCUGUAGCAACCCUUGAUAUAUUGUU
RNAcentral lists this long non-coding RNA (2660 nucleotides) under Canis lupus familiaris (dog). Its description in RNAcentral is "lncRNA (ENSCAFG00040020276.1)". The record is from RNAcentral. Lineage: Eukaryota; Metazoa; Chordata; Mammalia; Carnivora; Canidae.